This 491-nucleotide ribosomal RNA is filed under the name uncultured bacterium. RNAcentral describes it as "bacterial SSU rRNA". It matches the Rfam family "Bacterial small subunit ribosomal RNA", at positions 402 to 892 of the family's 1533-position model. The record is from RNAcentral.
UGCAGGAUGAAGGCUCUGUCGUAAGUAACUUCUUUUAUUUUGGGGCGAAAAUCACCUUUUCUAGUGGUGCUUGACAGUACCAGAUGAAUAAGCACCGGCUAACUCCGUGCCAGCAGCCGCGGUAAUACGGAGGGUGCAAGCGUUAUCCGGAUUCACUGGGUUUAAAGGGUGCGUAGGCGGGCAAUUAAGUCAGUGGUGAAAUCUUCGAGCUUAACUCGGAAACUGCCGUUGAUACUAUUUGUCUUGAAUACCGUGGAGGUGAGCGGAAUAUGUCAUGUAGCGGUGAAAUGCUUAGAUAUGACAUAGAACACCAAUUGCGAAGGCAGCUCGCUACACGGUCAUUGACGCUGAGGCACGAAAGCGUGGGGAUCAAACAGGAUUAGAUACCCAGGUAGUCCACGCCCUAAACGAUGAUUACUCGACAUCAGCGAUACACUGUUGGUGUCUCAGCUAACGCCUUAAGUAAUCCACCUGGGAAGUACGAUCGCAAC